AGUCGAGCGAACGAUGAGAAGCUUGCUUCUCUGAUGUUAGCGGCGGUCGGGUGAGUAACACGUGGGUAACCUACCUAUAAGACUGGGAUAACUCCGGGAAACCGGGGCUAAUACCGGAUAAUAUUUUGAACCGCAUGGUUCAAUAGUGAAAGACGGUUUCGGCUGUCACUUAUAGAUGGACCCGCGCCGUAUUAGCUAGUUGGUAAGGUAACGGCUUACCAAGGCGACGAUACGUAGCCGACCUGAGAGGGUGAUCGGCCACACUGGAACUGAGACACGGUCCAGACUCCUACGGGAGGCAGCAGUAGGGAAUCUUCCGCAAUGGGCGAAAGCCUGACGGAGCAACGCCGCGUGAGUGAUGAAGGUCUUCGGAUCGUAAAACUCUGUUGUUAGGGAAGAACAAAUUUGUUAGUAACUGAACAAGUCUUGACGGUACCUAACCAGAAAGCCACGGCUAACUACGUGCCAGCAGCCGCGGUAAUACGUAGGUGGCAAGCGUUAUCCGGAAUUAUUGGGCGUAAAGCGCGCGUAGGCGGUUUCUUAAGUCUGAUGUGAAAGCCCACGG
Molecule: ribosomal RNA, 565 nt
Filed under: uncultured bacterium
Lineage: Bacteria
Description: bacterial SSU rRNA
Rfam family: Bacterial small subunit ribosomal RNA
Source: RNAcentral